RNAcentral lists this unclassified non-coding RNA (457 nucleotides) under uncultured Lactarius. Its description in RNAcentral is "sequence contains ITS2". The stretch from base 1 to 154 matches the Rfam family "5.8S ribosomal RNA". Lineage: Eukaryota; Fungi; Basidiomycota; Agaricomycetes; Russulales; Russulaceae. The record is from RNAcentral.
AACUUUUAGCAAUGGAUCUCUUGGCUCUCGCAUCGAUGAAGAACGCAGCGAAAUGCGAUACGUAAUGUGAAUUGCAGAAUUCAGUGAAUCAUCGAAUCUUUGAACGCACCUUGCGCCCCUUGGUAUUCCGAGGGGCACACCCGUUUGAGUGUCGUGAAAAUCUCAACCUUCUCGGUUUCUUCUGGACACCGAAGGAGGCUUGGACUUUGGAGGCCUUUGCUGGCGUCUCUCGCCAGCUCCUCUCAAAUGAAUUAGUGGGGUCCUCUUUGCCGAUCCUCGACAUGUGAUAAGAUGUUUCCAUGUCUUGGUUUAUGGCUCUGUUGCUUUUGGGACCCGCUUCUAACCGUCUCAACGAGACAACGUUCGAGCGUGUCGAACACUCUUGAACCCACGAACCCUUGACCUCAAAUCGGGUGAGACUACCCGCUGAACUUAAGCAUAUCAAUAAGCGGAGGCU